ACCGUGACAACGCCGACGACUGUCGGGCAGAGUUGCCACUUCCCGGGAUUUUUCCUUUCUCAGACGGAACCAUGACGGAAUGUAACGCGUAGACCGUAGCGUCAUAGAUUAGAUUUGAUUCGAUUCGAUUAAAUUCUAAUCUAUGACUCUGCUGCGCCCUAGAGCCAGACAACACCACAAGGACGGGCGUGCAAGGAGCGUUGACCAAAAUUUUGUUCGUAAUUGAGGAAGUGUCUUGUAGAAUUUCGUCGAAAUUAAAAGUGCGGCUAUUUUGUUGUCCAGUUUGGUAUGGCUCAGCGAAAUCAACCUGACAACGGGCUCGGUGGAUUUGCCAAUUCCAAAUUUGUUUUGAUAAAUGGUGAUUUUUGGAACUGCAGGGAGAAGAGGAGGUAUAUUCAAGGACAAGCCUGGCUUAAUGAGUUCACAUUCAUUGUGCUCCAGUGUUACUGGCAAAUCCUUGGUUAUAUACCCGAAUACGAAUACGAGACAAAUCAGUGGGACUGUGAUGCUCAAAGCUAUGUUAAGGAAAGGAAACCUCUUAAUGAAUGUGGUUCAUUGGAAAUUUUAAAAUACAUGUUCCAAUUUGGUCAUGUAAUUAUCAAAGAACAAAGUAGAGAUCUCAAAAUAUUCCUUCGCCAGACUAGAAGGGUAAAGACACUGAGGAACACUAUGACUCACGAGGUCGGAAAAUGGACUAAUACCAGUGAUACGUUACAAGAACUCUUGAAUAAAAUGAAGAGCACGUCAGAGUGUUUGUCUAGACACAUCAAAGGUGAAUCGCUCAGUCAUGUAAAUGGCUUCAUUGAAAAAUGUGAAGAGGAGCUUGGUAGAAUGAAGGGCUACCAAGAUUUUUAUUAGCUUUCCAUUUUCCACUGAUUUUACUGUUUUGGCUUGAAGAACAGGAAUUGGUAAUAAAAUUGGUUUGGAAAAUUUUUUAAAUUCUUUUUUUUCAGUUACUUCCAGUCAUGUUCUUGUUUUUCAAUUAAAUUAAAACAAUGUAGAUCAUGAUUACCAUCAUCGUAUUUAAAAUUGACAUCAGCAUUUCUACGUACUCUCUGGAAUUCAGUUUUAAUGUCGCCAAUGGGAAAUCCUUGUUUAUAUCUGUUCAAUUAAUUUCGACUAACGAGUAUUCUUUUAAUAGAACAAAUUGGAGAGAUACAUCUGAUUUUCGUCGGCAUUUAAGAAAAAUUGAUCGAGACGAACAGGCUAUUCACCGUUGCGCUAAAUUCAUUGUGUAAAAUAUUUUAUAAAUUCGGGGUGUGGUUACGAGAAGCAUGAAACAGGAAAGGAGAAAGACCACCCUUGUGAGCCCCCUGAAGAAAAUGUUGGUACCAUGAUGUGACUUACCUUAGGCUAUGGAUGCAGUGUUCUGUCGAAUAAGGGAAAACUUGAUUCGUUUUGUAAACGAAUACGAAUAAGCACUAACCUGGUUAGCUACUCUCCUGCAUCUAGUAGCAGAAAAAGGUGUACUAACAAUCAUCGUAUGAAAAUUUGGCCCGACCCGUGCCUCCUCCUUUCCACCUUAAUGCAAGAAGGAACGAUGAAAACUCCAAAUUUGUCAAACAAACGAUAAUCGAUUAUUUGGCUCGUUCUACACAAAGCACGCUAGAUGGCAUGGUAUUCUUGGGAGUAUAACAAAAUAACAAUCUGGCAUCACAGGAGGCUGCUCAAUCUUUCAAGAUUCCUUCUCACGGACAUCAGACGAAAGAAACAAAUGCAACGAUCCGUGAAUGCUGCAGUGAGAAACAGUAAAGCAGCGUCGCCAUUGGUCGAGCUUUGGCGGUCAAGCAUGGCGGUCGAAAGAAGAAGAAGAAAAGGUUUUGAAUUUCAUACAUUAGUACUGUAAAAUUCUUGUUGUAAAAAAAAAAAAAAAAUAGGUAAAAGAAAACGAGCAUUCAUUUGUGCAGUAGCCGGUAGUCGCUAAAAUGUGAAAGACAUUGAAACCUGUCAACCAUUAGCAGUGUGUGUAAACUACACGAGAGUCGGAUGGAGGGAAAUUUCAGAAAGAAGAUGGGCGGAGCUAAAAACUGGCUCGCGCUCGCCUCGAGGGCCUUCUUCAGUCGCGUCGAGGUCUCCAUGACGACUGGAGGUUUCUGAAACAUUUCUCCCCUUCUCGUUCUAACAAACACUUGCCAGUGUAAAGUGAGCCUUGAAACCGAAGUGAAACACACUAAAAAAACACCCGAGUGUUGUCUGGAAACUAAGGUUUUUCUAACGUGAGGAUUACAUCGAAGCCCAUCAAGUUGAUUGCCAUCAACCAACGUUUCACACACACACACACACCAGGUUCACCGGUCGGCCAUGACAGUCGACGCCGGACGCCGACUCUUAUUGCUCAGCGUCUUCCUGUGGCUGGGUCAUCGAGACUGUCGAGCUCUUGUGCCCAGCAGCCCAACAACAGAUCAACAUGUUCAAAUUGUGCUGUUACAUCGGAGAGGGUUGGAUUGCGAUGCCGACAGCAAUAAAAUUGGCAACAGCGUGAGCAUGUCAGCAAGUCAACGAGAAACGGCCGCGCGAUGGGCAUCCGAAAUCCUCAACAACCAAACGAAACCUCAUCUCUUCUCCAUAGAUGUGGAAGUGAUGGACACGUGCGGCAGCGUCCAAGCGACGGCCAAACGGUCGCUACAAGUCGUCAGGCAAAUUAAAAGCAGCGGAACGGCCGUGCUGGGCGUCAUCGCCUUGGAGGAGGCGGACGUCCUUGCCGAAGCGGCUCGUGUCCUUCGACGUCACAACAUUCCAUUGGUGGUAGCCACACCUAGAGCCGCUGAAAGUGAAGCUGCUUCUCUACUCCUCUACGCUCCAGACGAUCCGGCCGUUUUUACCCAACCGGACAACGUCUUUUCAGCCGUACCCAAUACCGCCGCUGUCGCCAGGGCGACGAUGGCAGUGGCCAAGGGAAUACAGAGCCAAUCCAUCCGCAUUUUGGGGACGUGUUGGCGGACGAUCCGGAUGGCGGAACGAGCCGCUCGCCAUUUGAAUAUCAGAGUGAUAUCCGCUGAGCAUUUGGUCGGCGACUAUUCCGGUAGUCCGACAGCCUACAUCGCCAAUCUGACGACGCAUCAACACGUGCUGGAACAACAAGAAGGUGUCAGGGUGGCUUUGCUGAUGGAACCCGAUGAACUGGCCGACUUUAUGAACCAGGCCGUCAGAAUAUCUAGCGGGAGGAAAAUCACUUGGCUUCUUGGAUGUGUGGCGGGUGUUGUCAGUCCGCAAAUCGCAGCUCAAUGGGCGCUCGAUCUGUCCAGCAGCGCAUUUCUUGUCGAACCCCAUUUACUGGAACUGGCCGGAUUAGCCGAUUAUAUGCGACUUCAUGGUGUUAUUCACCAUCCGCUCGAUAACGAGAUUCCGCAUAUCGUUCAAGCCGUUUCGGCUCUCGGCGCUGCGUUCCACUUGCAGGAAUUGUCCAGUUGUGUUCAACAGCAGUCGGCUAACGGCACUAACGAUGAGAACAACAGCACCAGUGAGUUCGACUGCAGUCCGGCGUUUGCUGCGGAUCCUUCGCGAGUUCCCAGUCAAAUGUUGACGGCCCUACGCCAAUUGAGUAUGCCCGCCACAUCAAAUGCAAGAGGUCCAGCUGAACUGGAAGGCACGUCCAACCAUUUUACGCCGUCCGGCCGACUUGUAGCCAACCGUUACCUCAUCCAGAAAUUGAUGGCCGGCUCUGGUGAAAGUUCACCGGUCGCCUGGUACUCUGACGACGACGGUCUCGUCUUAGCCGCCAUCAUGACGUCACAAUCCCGUUUCGACUUUUUUGGCCACGUCUCUUCCGUCCCUCUUUUAACGUCCGUCCCUCCUUUUGUCAUCGACGAACGGACGAUUGAUUACAACAACAACAACAUUAAAGUCGAAGGCACGGAAGAUCCCGAACAAGAAGCGACUGGACUUUUCCUCGAUGACGUUAAUAAUCUCAUCACAGCCAGUCCGUCAUCUCGUCCGCUUUUCCUUUUCGUUCAAGGACGGACUUGGGCGGCUUCCAUAUUGGCCGUCUCUGCCACUGAAUUGCUGGCCGCUUUCUACAUCCUCGUUGUUCUUAUUUCACGCAUGUGCGGAACCGAUCGCACCACCAGCGUCCGGCUGUCGAGCACUCAGACCAUGUCGCUUCUUCUUUUGUUGGCCGUCAUGGCUCAGUUGACGAGCGUGGCCCUCUUUGUUCUACCCGGACUGGCUACUCAUUUGAAAUUCUUUCUUCCCCCGUUAUUCCUCGUUGCCGGUUACGCUCUUCUUCUGGCCAAGCUCUUCCAGUUCCGACAUUUGGCCUCUGCCGGAUUAGGCGGAUCUGUCCCUCAAUGUCCCCUCUACGUGGCCGUUUUGCUGGCCCUAGCCGUUCAAGCGGCUGUCAGUGCUCAUUUCUAUACUCAACAGGAACAGCAGCGCCAAAUGUUGACAACGAUCAACGACAACAACGAUUUACCUUUGCUCUACCUUUUCCUGAUGGUGCUGGUGACCAUCACGGCCCUGUACGCGUCCAGCUUGAAACACAUCCGCCAACAGCAUCGAGAAGCUCAACUGAUUCUCAUCGCCACGUUGACGUCAGCCGCUUUGAUGAUGGGCUGGACGCUGGUCGUCACGAUGGCCGAUGAAGAAUAUCGCGAUGCUGCAACAGCUGGAUUGAUGGUCCUCUUGGCCGCCUCCGUCCUCGGUUCCAUCUUUAUCCCGCGAGUGGUGCAGUUGAGUCGGCAAAGGAGACAACUGUCUAUCAAGUCGACUUACGCUUGCAAUAUUUCAAUGGCUUCCGGAAUACCCACCAGUCCGUGGCUGGAUUACAAUUUCACCAGUGCAAAGGACAAGCAAAUGUUACAGCAAAAUUACAGCUCGAACAACUGCAGCAGCAGUAAUUGUACUAAUAGUUAUAGUAGUUAUAAGAAUCAGAGUAGCGAUAAUAACAAAAACUUAAUGAAUGAUGUAAAACUAUCUGGCAGUGGACUUAUGAGGCAUCCACAGUACUCUGGACGCCAUUAAAAUGAAAAAUAAAAAACGCCAGACAAGCCCCCCCAACCCAAAAAAUCAACCAUGCAUUAAAUAUCGAUCGUUUUUUUUUUUCACGUUUUUUUUUUAAAUUAAAAUUAUAAUUUUUUUUUGUUUCUCGUCCACCAGCAAAACAAAUCUAUUCUUGUCAUUUAAUUAAAACCCCACUUAUUUUUUUUCCUCGCCUCGGUUAUUUACAAAUGUAUUUUUCGUGUUUGUGUUUACUCAAGGUCUCUUUUUUUAACGACGACAAUUCAAUAAUAAAUGGUAGGACGUUUCAAAUAUCGUUCUACGCUUUCACUAAUGAUGAAAGUCUUAUUGGACAUGUUUUAAGGCAUUUUCGUGCGUUUUAUUCGGGAGGAAAUGCAAAACUUGCAAUUCUUAAAUUUAAAAUGUGUUGCUUGUUUUUACCGCUAGAUGGCUGUUUUGUUGUUUGCUUAACUGGAUUGGGCCGAAGCACCACGUUUUGAAAGCAAAGUUUUAUAUUUAUUCUAGAGAAAAUCUCCGGAUACGAAUGUUGUGCUGCACAGUUUUAUUAUUUUUUCCAUUGAUUUACUGCAAAUUUUUUACUAAAUUGAAGGUUAGAAAAUAUUUGCCAGUUUAAUUAAAUCCGACAAAUUUGCAUUUGAGCUACAAAUGCCAUCGGCUGUACACCGUGACUUGCCAUCAGAUUUCUCAGCCAAUUCAUUUUAAGGCGACAGUCAUUGUUAGUGAAAAUGUUGGUGAUUAAGUUAACAGGUGUCACUUGGUGCCUGAUGGCUAAACAAUGAAGAAUUGAGAGAAAAAUGAGUGUUUUAAAACACAGUAUGAGGCUGG
Molecule: RNA transcript, 5781 nt
Organism: Daphnia magna
Lineage: Eukaryota; Metazoa; Arthropoda; Branchiopoda; Diplostraca; Daphniidae
Exons: 10
Source: RefSeq, a predicted model, not a curated record